AUUGAACGCUGCGGCAGGCUUAACACAUGCAAGUCGAGCGAGCGGCGGACGGGCGAGUAAUGCUUAGGAAUCUGCCUAUUAGUGGGGGACAACAUCCCGAAACGGAUGCUAAUCCCUCAUACUACUAGAUGCGCCUAGUCGGAUUGGCUAGUUGGUGGGGUAAAGGCCUACCAAGGCGACGAUCUGUAGCGGGUCUGAGAGGUUGAUCCGUCACACUGGGACUGAGACACGGCCCAGACUCCUACGGGAGGCAGCAGUGGGGAAUAUGGACAAUGGGGGGAACCCUGAUCCAGCAAUGCCGCGUGUGUGAAGAAGGCCGUAGGGUUGUAAAGUACUUUAAGUAGGGAGGCGGUACCGACAGAAGAAGCACCGGCUAACUCCGUGCCAGCAGCCGCGGUAAUAC
Molecule: ribosomal RNA, 403 nt
Filed under: uncultured bacterium
Lineage: Bacteria
Description: partial 16S ribosomal RNA
Rfam family: Bacterial small subunit ribosomal RNA
Source: RNAcentral